This 1731-nucleotide ribosomal RNA is filed under the name Triticum aestivum (bread wheat). RNAcentral's name for it is "partial small subunit ribosomal RNA". The record is from RNAcentral. Lineage: Eukaryota; Viridiplantae; Streptophyta; Magnoliopsida; Poales; Poaceae.
GCAAAAAGGAAAAAAAAUCUCACCCGCGACCGCUCGUCCACCACUUCCUCCCCCGAUCCCAUCGCCGCCGGUGCGUACCCCACCUCCUACUAGCGCGCCACCACUCCCGCCUCCUUCCGGCGCGCCGUCGUCCCCGCCUCCUACCGACGGGCCGCCGGACACGCCUUCUCCCCCCGUGUACCGCCUCCCCACGCGCCGCGCGCCGCCGGCCGCCGCUGUGGUUGUGCUUCCCCGGAGACCAAUCACCAACCGUGAUGCACUCCCCAACCAUCGCGCAUCCCCGGAUCCGUCGCCACCACGCGGCGGCGAACUCCCCCGGCAGGGAUCCACUGGGGACGGCGGCGGCCCGAUCCCCUGCCGCGGCCAACGACCUUCUGCUCCGCUCCUGCUGUGGUGGCCGCCGCCGGCCUUCCUCCGUGCUGGAGCUGCCCGUCCCCUACCUCCCGAUGCUGCCUUGGUCUCCCCCACCUUCGGCAGUAGCUACGACGUCGGACAUCUCCUGCAGUAGAUCAGGUCAUUGACCACCGCCCGAUACGUCGUCGGACCAGCGGAUCCACGCUGCUCCUCCACCUCCCGACCAAUGCCGCCGACCUGUCCUGCUGCUCACCUCCUCCUCACAUAUGCAUCAACAAAACUUGGCAGCCGCUGCAGUCCACAUCGUUCCACAGUAGCAGGUCAACUCCUCCAAGGUCACACGAGCUCGCCGCCAAAAGCCCACGGUCUAUUGAGCCAGAGAUGGCACUGGACGCCGCCGUGGCCGAUCAUCUGGAUCGGAGCCACCAACCCACAUCCGCACAGAGGGAGCUGGUAGCAGCCCCGUUGAUGGGGAUUGGGCACUAUCUGCAGCUACAGGUGGCAUCGACCUGCAGCUACAGGGAGCGUCGACCUGCAGCUGGAGGAGGUGUCGACCAAAAGCUCGCCACGCACGGCACUACGGCCUACUGCCACAACAGUCCACCACCUACAGCCGGCGCCGCAGCGCCUCGGGCCGUUCAACUAUGCCACCUCAGGCCGUCCAACUCCACCUGGUGCUCGUCGUGGAUGACCCCGCCAUCGUCAACUCCAUUUGCUUCCUUCCGCUGUACGCGGCCAACUCCAUGAGCUCCUCGCCUCUACUCUGUUUAGAAGAGCGUCGUGAGCUCGUCCAACUAUGGCUGCUUCUCUGCUGGUGCCAACUCCUGUUGUGGCCAUUUCUGCUCGGCCGGAUCCCACUCCUAUUGAGAAUAGCAGCACACAAAAGGCUCAAGUUGUCGAUUAGGUAGUAGGUACAAACUUCAUAUAUUUCUGUAUCUUAAUAAUGCUAUAUAGUACUGACAUCCUACAGCUUAUGGCGAAUGCUUUUGUGACUGCAGAUGGUAAUCAGUGAACAGUUUGGUUUCUUCUCUUCUACAAAGAGUUUUUUUUUCCUCCAUCAAUACUGGUGGUCGCUCUAACUUUGUGAAGCUAGAGAAACAAGAAGACAAAUGGGCAAACGUAGUAAACAUACCGAGUACAUUAUGAUUUUUCAGGCAUAAGAGAGGAUAAACUUUCUCAUCUAGUCAUUUUGCUUGUGUCUAGCAGGGUUAUGAGCUGAAGGCGCAUUAACUUGGCUUGCCCAUGGCGGUGUUUGAUACAGUAGUCUGUUAAUUUUCUGAUCGAGUUGAACAUAGCAAUUUAAGACCAAUUCAUACCAUGCUGUAAAUUUGUUGCACAAACAAACUGAUGAACCAACAACGAAAUUAUAACUUGGGC